Molecule: long non-coding RNA, 4323 nt
Organism: Macaca fascicularis (crab-eating macaque)
Lineage: Eukaryota; Metazoa; Chordata; Mammalia; Primates; Cercopithecidae
Source: Ensembl
UUUUUUUUUUUUUUUUAGUAGAGAUAAUAUUUCAUCCUGUUGCCCAGGCUGGUCUUGAACUCCUAGGCUUAAGCAAUCUGCCUACCUCUGCCUCCCAAAGUGCUGAGAUUACAGGCGUGAGCCACCAUGGCUGGCCUAAACUAAUUUUUAGAUAGUUCCUGGUCACUCAAAUUUAAGAAUGUCAGCAAUGUCAAUUUUAAAUGCUCAUAGGUGUUUCCUUAUCUAUAACAUGAAAAUGAUUAUUCUGCAUUUUAUCCAAUAGUCCAAAUUAAAGAAAAUAUUUUUCUCAAUUUAAAAUAAUUUCUUUUUCUUUUGUUUAUGCAAGUGCAUACAUGCUUCACUGAAAGCAAAACCAUUAUAAUUACAUUAAAGUUUAUAAAAUAAGAUAUUCUAACCUCAUAUCUAAUAAGUAUGUACAAAGGUAACUAUCACUCCUUAAAUUCACAUGAAAACUACUGUAACUGAUCAUGUAUUUUGGAAUUAGACUUGAUAAUAAAAGAUUAUCAUGUAUCACAUAUCUCACACCAGGGGAACAUUUAGCUACAUAAUUGUCCCACUUUAAUAUCUUUUAAAGGUAAUAGUAAUUUUUGACACAUUUUAUUUUAAAAUAUUAUUUAAACAAAAGUUACAUUCCUCUCCACAAUGAGGCUAAAUGUCACUUAGGAAAGAACUUUAUUCCCUUAUAUUCCUGAAAAGGAAUCAGAAUUAACAUUUUUAUGUUGAAUAAAUUUUAAAAUCUAGGAAACAUUCUAUUUAACUUUUUUCAUAAAGCCAUUACUCUUUACAUUGUCAUUUCCAAAAAGCUACAAUUUCCCAUGUUGGAUGUGAUUAAAGUUAGGCACACCUUUACUACAUUAGCAGCCUUUGACAAUGACUUCCUCAAACUGACACCAUCUUAAUUAGAUGCAGGGACAGGGAUCGGAUGGUAUGAUAUCAAAUUUACUUUCUGUCCUACAAGUUAAAAACUGUACCCAUUCUGUAAAUUGAAAAUAGAGGUUCUCCCUUGGCCACUGUCAGUUUUUCCUGACUGGUCAAAACUGCCCAUUCUUCUUGGAAUGGUAUGGAAGCUUCAGCAAAAGACGUAAAAGUCAGAAUCUUUGAUGGUUCCUUGAAUGCUCAUUUGGUAGUAAAUCAAUUUCAGCUGAGACAUAAGGCCUGCCAGAACAUCAUAUAAACAUCUUUAUAGCCUAGAGAAAAGAAGGUUGAAGAGCAAAGCAGAUUUUUUUUUUUCCUUUUCUAUAUCUUGUUCUGAACAACACACUGUGAUAAAGGGGACUAGAGUGGAAGAUUCCCUAUUUAAACACAUGAAGCUCUGGAUCCUAGCCUUUUUUGGUUAUAAACCCUUUGAGAAUCUGAUAAAAGCUAUGGAUCAUCUCCUAGGAAAAUCGAACAAAACAUAUACAUUCACGUUACACAGUUUCAGAAUAUAUGGACCCCCCAAAGACCAUGGAUUGCCCUAGGAGAUCCUUAGAUUCUUGUUUAGAACUGUUGAUUUUGAACACAACAUACAGUGUCAAAGUUUACAUCAGUGAUCCACCAUAACUCAGACAUAGCCCAGGUGGCCUGUUUCUAACACAACUGUCAUAAUUCUGAAAUCCAAAAUUGCACUGUGUUUGACAGGAGUUAGUUUAAUUUCCACAAAAUCCAAAUUUACCGUAUUAUUGUUUUUUAAAAAGCAGUUUAGAGCAAACUAGUCGCUAAACUCGGGUGAAUGGGACAGAAAGUACAGAUUUAAUAAAGUCGUACCUCUAAUGUUCAGAAUUUGGUUGUCUAUUUGUUCAAAGCUGUAGUUCACUCCUAUUUUUGCUGUUAAAUUUAUUUACCUAUUUCUAGAAAAGGAAAAUAAUUAAACCAUAGAUAUUCCUGAAAUGCUGUACCUGUAUCAACUAUGAAUCUGAUCAGCUAAGUCUCCGGAAAAAGAGAAUCAAAAGGAUAAAGGUUUAACACUUUUCUGUUUCUUUAGAGAAAGUUUUCAAAGCCAGAGGUGGUGUAGUAGUUGACUUUAUCUCUAGCUGAGAUGCUUUAGAGAAUUCUGAUUUUUAUCAUGCCAUGCCUUUCUUUUUAUCCAAAGGACAAAAGAAGCUGGACUAAGAAUAUUUUUAUACUAUAUUCGAAGGUAAACAUUAGUUAAGAUGUUAUCUCUUAUAUAUUAUUGAUUUUUUUGUUGGUUUGCCUUACAGAAAUGCAAAUAUCAAGAUUUCUUCUAUAGUGUCCAUCCUUAAAGGUAACAUUAAGAUUGUUUUUAGCCAAGGCUCUAGGAAAAUGAAAAUCCUUCUCCUUAUAACAGUGGUUCUCCAUUUUGACUGCACAUUAGAAAUACCCAAGGAACCUUAAAAAACCCUAAAUAUCCAGAUUGUACCCAAACCAAUUAAAUCAGACUCUGGGAGUGGAGCGCAGGCAUCAGUAUUUUCUAAAGCUCCCCAGGCAGUUCUAACACGCGGAAGACUGAUAACCACCGCUCGCUCCAGAAGUACUGGCUCAGAGGUCUAUGCCUAACCACUGGGAACUAUUACUCCACUUGACCUUGACCUCAAACUCAAAUGUGGAGCUCUUCUGAGCUGGGUAGAAGCACAUUUUUUUGCUUGGAUAAGAGGUCUCUCCUGGAAGCCAGGACUAAAGCAGGGCAAGUACACACACAUGUGCAUACAUGCACAAACACCCCUCAUCUGAGCAGGAGAGCCAGGUUCUGCCCCAGGGUCCAAGCUCUCUUUCUCAAAUAUGAUAGAUAACUAUCUGCACCAGAAUCGUAUCGGUUACUAUUUAAAAAUACAACUUCCUAGGCUGCACCUUAGACCUUGCAACCAAAUUCCAGGAGAGGGUCUGGAUUAUGUACCACUUCACCAGGUGUUUCUGAUCAUACUUCAAUUUGAGAUCUUCUGGGUGAAAGCUACCUAACACAUCCUUUACUGGGCAGCAGAGCCCUGGCUUCUACAGAGAGAGCACAGAAAGGAAUAAGGGAGUGUGUGAAAGGUUGCCUCUCCGCCCCUCCUGGAAGCUAGAGAGAAGAAGGGGCAAAAAGAUGUGUUGCAUUUACCUCUCAAAUGAGCAGCACCCGCUCUUUGAUCACUUUGGCCCCAACAUUUGGUAUUACUUUUAAUCUCUUUCCUAGAAACCAUAAAAAUAUCUAUCAGCUCGUGGUUAAAGUCACAUUUUAAUAUCUAACUAAGUCCCGGUAACACUUUCCUCCUUGGAGCAAAGUAGGUGGUCAAAAAGGCAAGCAGAAGCUUCUUUUGAGAGCUAUUGAUUCUCUAGUGUUGUUGCUUCCCAAGCAAAAAUCCCAGAUUGCCACCUAUUUAUAGGCACUUCCCAAUUCUAGCCCCAACUGGGCUUCACAUGUCCAUUUGUAAGUCAGUUCAACUGUGAGGAUAAUACAUUUUUCUGUAGGAUCAAGGUCAUAAAUGGUGGUAAGUUUCCCAGACCAGCCUAUACAGGCCAUAGAGUGCCUAAAACAUUGACAGUGGGACAUAAUGCAGUUCUGGGUUGUGAGUGGGCAGAGGAAGGCAGCACAAGGAGCAGCUGUGAGUUUAGGGCAUCAUAUGGAAACACCUCCCUGGAGAGUGUUUCUCAGUUUCAGACUGGUUCUCCAGACACUCCCUUUAUUUUCGCUUUGUCCCCUCACAGAUUAGCUUGCCAGUGCCCCACCUACUCCCAUGACCUAUUGCCUUUUCUGAUCAUGGCUGCUUCUACUUUUGACUUGCUAAGGAGAGAUGAUUUUUUUUUUUUUCCUGUGUUUCCUACAAAACUUUGGAAGUGUCUGAGUUAGUAUCACUAGAAACAGGAACAUUCAGGUGACCUGAAAAAGGCAGCCACUAAGCCUCUUCUCAGAGCCUAUUUUCACUAGGGCCUGUGGGGAAAGACAUGAGCAUACAAGGCAAAACUGUGUGGGACAGGCCAGCCAUGGAGCCUGACCCAGUCACCCAGACCUCUGAGGUUCUUGCUUGGCUGUUGUUGGCUUCACGUGAUGUUGCCCUGUCCUGAUCACAGCUAGCUACUCCAUAGGCCAGCCAGUGAUUCUGGGUAUUUUGGCUCAAAACCACAAACUGGAUCAAUCAGUCUGUCCUCUCAGGAUGUGAACUUAAAAGCACAGAAGGAACUGGCCAGUUAGAGUUCAGAGCUGAAGUGGGAAGAGUCUGUCCAUGAAAGGUGUGGUCUCUGCAGGUGGAAGGGAUGAAGAAGCAGGAACCAUAAGUCAGCAAAGGAAGCUGAUCAGUACAAGGGGAAGAAGCUACUUGGUGUUGAGAGCAGAUGCAGAGAGAGGCAGAGACAGGAGACGAUGAGGCCCAGGAGGGCAUGAUAAUGAUGAGGAAUUGCUGGCCCAUGUGC